GGUGCCGUUCCUUUAGAGAAGACACAAGGAACCUCAUCUGCACAAAGGGUUAACCAGAAUGCCUUUCCCCUGCCAUGUGUCAGCGCUGGUUCCCUUGUAAGGACCAGACACACGUUCACCGAUGACACCCUCGGAUACUUCCAGAAAGUGGAACAUAAACAUGGUUAGGAAAUGUUAAAACAUGAAUACAUCUAGGAAAUGUACCUAACAGGUUUUAUCACAUGCUUCACUUUAUUCAUGUCAUCCAACACAAAUAACUGCACACCACUUAGAUAAAAUGUGACGAAAUACCAAUAUGAACAUUCCGUCCUCUUGAGAAUGUAACACCCUGUCAUGUGCAUUCAUAUAAUAAACGUGUGCCGAAGGUA
This is a long non-coding RNA of Esox lucius (northern pike), 368 nucleotides long. RefSeq lists it as uncharacterized. NCBI's taxonomy places the organism in Eukaryota, Metazoa, Chordata, Actinopteri, Esociformes, Esocidae. The record is from RefSeq and is a predicted model, not a curated record. The transcript has 2 exons.